This 497-nucleotide ribosomal RNA is filed under the name uncultured bacterium. RNAcentral describes it as "partial 16S ribosomal RNA". It matches the Rfam family "Bacterial small subunit ribosomal RNA", at positions 28 to 507 of the family's 1533-position model. The record is from RNAcentral.
GAUGAACGCUGGCGGCGUGCCUAAUACAUGCAAGUCGAGCGAACAGAUAAGGAGCUUGCUCCUUUGACGUUAGCGGCGGACGGGUGAGUAACACGUGGGUAACCUACCUAUAAGACUGGGAUAACUUCGGGAAACCGGAGCUAAUACCGGAUAACAUUUGGAACCGCAUGGUUCUAAAGUGAAAGAUGGUUUUGCUAUCACUUAUAGAUGGACCCGCGCCGUAUUAGCUAGUUGGUAAGGUAACGGCUUACCAAGGCGACGAUCCGUAGCCGACCUGAGAGGGUGAUCGGCCACACUGGAACUGAGACACGGUCCAGACUCCUACGGGAGGCAGCAGUAGGGAAUCUUCCGCAAUGGGCGAAAGCCUGACGGAGCAACGCCGCGUGAGUGAUGAAGGGUUUCGGCUCGUAAAACUCUGUUAUUAGGGAAGAACAAAUGUGUAAGUAACUGUGCACGUCCUGACGGUACCUAAUCAGAAAGCCACGGCUAACUACGUG